GAUUAACGCUGGCGGCAUGCCUAAUACAUGCAAGUCGAAUGGUAGCAAUACCAUGGCGAACGGGUGAGUAACACGUAGGUAACCUGCCCUUAAGACGAGGAUAACCGUUGGAAACGACGGAUAAUACUGGAUAGGACAACAAAAAUCGCAUGAUUAGUUGUUUAAAGAUUUAUCACUUAAGGAGGGGCCUGCGGCGCAUUAGCUAGUUGGUGAGGUAACGGCCCACCAAGGCGAUGAUGCGUAGCCGGACUGAGAGGUUGAACGGCCACAAUGGAACUGAGAACGGUCCAU
Molecule: ribosomal RNA, 291 nt
Filed under: uncultured bacterium
Lineage: Bacteria
Description: partial 16S ribosomal RNA
Rfam family: Bacterial small subunit ribosomal RNA
Source: RNAcentral